RNAcentral lists this ribosomal RNA (253 nucleotides) under uncultured bacterium. Its description in RNAcentral is "partial 16S ribosomal RNA". It matches the Rfam family "Bacterial small subunit ribosomal RNA", at positions 524 to 776 of the family's 1533-position model. The record is from RNAcentral.
UACGUAGGCAGCGAGCGUUGUUCGGAAUUACUGGGCGUAAAGAGUGUGUAGGCGGUGCUCUAAGUCUGUUGUGAAAUCUCCCGGCUCAACUGGGAGGGUGCGGCGGAAACUGGAGUGCUCGAGUGUGGGAGAGGUAAGCGGAAUUCCUGGUGUAGCGGUGAAAUGCGUAGAUAUCAGGAGGAACACCGGUGGCGAAGGCGGGUCUCUGGGCCGAUACUGACGCUGAGGAGCGAAAGCGUGGGGAGCGAACAGG